Pseudophryne corroboree (corroboree frog) is the source of this 598-nucleotide long non-coding RNA. RefSeq lists it as uncharacterized. The transcript is spliced from 3 exons. The record is from RefSeq and is a predicted model, not a curated record. NCBI's taxonomy places the organism in Eukaryota, Metazoa, Chordata, Amphibia, Anura, Myobatrachidae.
CGCAGAGUAUUGUGGAUGUGUCGGUGAAGGCUUCGUUUAGUCCGGAUAAAAUAAUUCUCACAAAUAAGAAUAGUGAGAUAAGUGUAAAAAUCUGCUUCAGUGCUCACUUCAGACCUGCCAGCUCCAGCAAACAAUUAGUGGCCAUCACUUACAAUGCAACACUAGAUGCUGAUCUGCUGUCAUCGCGAGUGACGUCUAGAGGACAGUUCAAGGAAAAUGGCGACCGAUUACUAACAAAAAAUGUUGACAUAAGCACAGAGGAAAGUUGUUUUGAACACAUCUUUAACGUUCAGGUACGAAGUCUAGCUCUGCCCCCUGAUGGAUCCGCAAGUCCCGCGCCAGGAUCUGGCUGGCAGGCAGCUUGGUCACCCCUGCUCUAUGGCUUACUAUCGAUGGGUUCCCUGUGAAUGCUUUUAUACCAUUGAGGUUAACCGCCACUGGUAUCAACCAAAACCAGAAGUUAUUUUGUAUAUAAAUAUGAAAUAAAGAUAUAGCAAGAAUUUAUAAACAUAAAAGUAUUAAUGUUUCAGGAGCUAAUCAGAAAUGUGGAUAAUGUAUUUGUAAUAAAGUUAUGUCUGUGGUGUUGAGAAAUAAAUUU